UCCAUGGGGCGAUCCCGAAUUCCGGCUGUUUGUCCCUGACUGUCCCGGGAUCCCAAAUUUCUGAUGGUUUUUCCCAAAUAUCCCACGAUCCCAAAUUCCAGCCGUUUGUCCCUGUCUGUGGGGCGACCCUGAAUCCCAACUCCCAAAUCCCAACUCCUGAAUCCCAAAUCCCAACAACUCCCAAAUCCCGACCCCCUACUCCUGGACACCCAAACUCCCAGAAUCCCUGAACCCCAGAAUCCCGAAAUCCCGAACUCCCGAACUCCCAGAAUCCCGAACUCCCAGAAUCCCGAACUCCCAGAAUCCCGAACUCCCAGACUCCUGAUCUCCCUGGACUCCCAAAACCCCCGGACUCCCCCCUGGAACACCCCCCGUGAAUCCUGGGAUAUGAUACGUGUGUGUUUUCCCGUUUCCCACUGUUUCCUGUUGUUUCCUGUUGCUUCCCGUUGUUUCCCGCCGUUGUUUCCCGCUGUUGUUUCCCGUUGCUGUUUCCCGCUGUUGUUUCCCGUUGUUGUUUCCCAUUGCCGUUGUUUCACACCGUUGUUUCCCGUUGUUUCCCAUUAUUUCCUGUUGCUGUUGUUUCCCGUUGCUGUUGUUUCCUGUUCCCAUUGCUCUUUCCUGUUGCCGUUUCCCGCUGUUGUUUCCCGCUGUUGUUUCCCGUUGUUGUUCCCUGCUGUCUCCCGUUCCCGUUGCCAUUUCCCAUUGUUGUUUCCUGCUGUUGUUUCCCGUUUCCCGCUGCUGUUUCCCAUUGUCAUUUCCCGUUUCCCACUGUUGUUGUUUUCCCGCUGUUGUUUCCCGUUGUCGUUUCCCGUUGUUUCCCGUUGUUUCCCAUUGUUUCCCGUUCUUUCCCAUUGUUUUCCGUUGUUUCCCAUUGUUUCCCAUUGUUUCCCGUUGUUCCCCAUUGUUCCCCAUUGUUUCGCAUUGUUUCCCAUUGUUUCCCGUUGUUUCCCAUUGUUUCCCAUUGUUUCCUGUUGUUUACCCAUUGUUCCCCAUUGUUCCCCAUUGUUUCCCAUUGUUUCCCAUUGUUUCCCAUUGUUUCCCAUUGUUUCCCAUUGUUUCCCAUUGUUUCCCAUUGUUUCCCGUUGUUUCCCAUUGUUUCCCGUUGUUUCCCAUUGUUUCCCAUUGUUUCCCAUUGUUUCCCGUUGUUUCCCAUUGUUUCCCGUUGUUUCCCAUUGUUUCCCGUUCUUUCCCGUUCUUUCCCGUUCUUUCCCCGCUGUUGUUGUUCUCACGCUGUUGUUUCCCGUUGUUUUCCCGCUGCUGUUUUCCCGCCGUUGUUUCCCGCCGUUGUUUUCCCAUCGUUGUUGUUUCCCCGCCCUUGUUGUUGUUUCCUGUCAUUGUUGUUGUUUCCCCGCCAUUGUUGUUGUUUUCCCGCCAUUGUUGUUUCCCCGCCAUUGUUGUUUCCCCGCCAUUGUUGUUUCCCCGCCAUUGUUGUUGUUUCCCCGCUGUUAUUGUUGUUUCCCCUCCAUUGUUGUUUUUCCCCUCCAUUGUUGUUUUCCCGCCAUUGUUGUUGUUUCCCGCCAUUGUUGUUGUUUCCCCCAUUGUUGUUGUUUCCCCAC
Long non-coding RNA from Cyanistes caeruleus (blue tit), 1556 nucleotides. The record is from Ensembl. NCBI's taxonomy places the organism in Eukaryota, Metazoa, Chordata, Aves, Passeriformes, Paridae.